UACGAAGGGGGCUAGCGUUGCUCGGAUUGACUGGGCGUAAAGGGCGCGUAGGCGGUUCGUACAGUCAGACGUGAAAUUCCUGGGCUCAACCUGGGGGCUGCGUUUGAUACGUGCGGACUUGAGUGCGGAAGAGGGUCGUGGAAUCCCCAGUGUAGAGGUGAAAUUCGUAGAUAUUGGGAAGAACACCGGUGGCGAAGGCGGCGACCUGGUCCGAUACUGACGCUGAGGCGCGAAAGCGUGGGGAGCGAACAGG
RNAcentral lists this ribosomal RNA (253 nucleotides) under uncultured bacterium. RNAcentral describes it as "partial 16S ribosomal RNA". It matches the Rfam family "Bacterial small subunit ribosomal RNA", at positions 524 to 776 of the family's 1533-position model. The record is from RNAcentral.